This 80-nucleotide microRNA precursor is filed under the name Sus scrofa (pig). RNAcentral describes it as "microRNA ssc-mir-142 precursor". Its record names the gene ssc-mir-142. It matches the Rfam family "mir-142 microRNA precursor family". Lineage: Eukaryota; Metazoa; Chordata; Mammalia; Artiodactyla; Suidae. The record is from miRBase by way of RNAcentral.
GUGCAGUCACCCAUAAAGUAGAAAGCACUACUAACAGCACUGGAGGGUGUAGUGUUUCCUACUUUAUGGAUGAGUGUACU